This 1417-nucleotide long non-coding RNA is filed under the name Homo sapiens (human). Its description in RNAcentral is "LHRI_LNC2103.10". The record is from RNAcentral. Lineage: Eukaryota; Metazoa; Chordata; Mammalia; Primates; Hominidae.
CAGAGGAACUUAGUCAUUGACUGUGGUGGGGCUGCAGGACGAUAAGAAUUCGGAAGUGAAAGAACUCAGAAGGCAGUGCCAGCAGCUGGAGUCUGUUAAACGGAGCAGUCUGUGUCAAAAGAGCUUCUCUCCAGAGUAGAAAGAUUUAUUUUCUUUUUGAAUAUAUUUUCUACACCAUGGUUUCUCAACCAGAGGUGAUACAGCACUGUCUCCAAAUGUGGAGCUGUUGUGUAUUGUCACGGGGAGGAGAAAUGCUACUGGCAUUUAGUGGAUGAUGGUCAAGGACACUAAGCAACCUGCAAUGUGUGGAUCAAUCUUACACAACGAAGGACUGUUCCACCCCAAAUGCCAAUGGUACCCUGUUGAGAAAGGAUUCAAGAUGGAUUGGCAUCAAAGUUCACUUCUUUAACAAAAGUGCUUUAUGACCUUAAUAAAAUAUUAGAGAAUGGUAGGAUCCAUGGAAGCCCUUUACAAAAACUUGUGAUAGAAAGUUUUGAUGAUAAGCAGACUUUGCAACAACUGGAAUUGCAAAAUGACCCAAUUUUACAAAGCUUCCAGAAUGCAGUUAGUGAAACAAAGAUGAAGAUAUCAGUAUCCCAGAGAGUGAAGAACAGGAGCAUGAAGAGGAUGGUUCAGAGACAGAGGCUGAUGGCCAGGAGGACCUAGAAGAUUUAGAGGAGGAGGAGGAAGUGUCAGAUAUGGGUGGUGACAAUCCUGAAGUGAGUGAGAGAGCAAACUCAAGCAAAUUCGAUCCGACGAAAAGCCCAGUUCUCAGUGAUGAGGAUUCUGACCUUGACUUUCAUAUCAACAAAUUGGAACAGCAGAGCAAGGUGCGAAACAAAGGACACGGGAAACCAAGAGAAAAGUCCAUAGCAGAUGAGAAAUUCUUCCAACUCUCUGAAAUGGAGGCCUAUUUAGAAAACAGAAAAAGAAGAGGAACGAAAAGAUGUCAGGUAAAAGUUCCAGAAAUGUGAAGGACAAAGACUUUUUUUGAUCCAGUUGAAAGUGAUGAAGACAUAGCAAGUGAUGAUGAUGAUGAUCUGGGUUCAAACAAGCUGAUGAAAUUGCUGAAGAAGCAGCAGAAGAACUAAGCAUUUCUGAAAUCAUGUCUCUUCUGACAAAGCUGUCCCGACAGCCUCUUCUUGUAACUGUUUUGACUGCUCCGGAGGAUGCCGCCUAUGUCUUUAAGGUGCUCCACAGAUUUUGAUGAAUGAAAAAAAUUACACCUUUAGAAAAAGAGUUGUUAUAAAAAAGCCUUGGUUGCGUCUGGGGGAAGUGACAGCACAGAAGAGACCAGAGAAUAGCCUGCUGGAGGAGACCCUGCACUUUGACCAUGCUGUCCGGAUGGUGCCUGUGAUUACAGAGGAAAUACCUUUCAACUGGAAGAUAUCAUUAAACACAGGAAAAGAGAUCAGGU